This 1391-nucleotide small RNA is filed under the name Pongo abelii (Sumatran orangutan). RNAcentral describes it as "sense overlapping". The record is from RNAcentral. Lineage: Eukaryota; Metazoa; Chordata; Mammalia; Primates; Hominidae.
CCCCAGCAUCCUGGGCGUGAACGCACCCAGCUUGAUUGUCACAUGGGGAAUAGAGACUUCGCGCCUGCCUGGCAUAGGCCCACCCAGUAAUGUUCAUUUAAAGCUGGCUUUACUAGUCCUUCUUCCACAAUGAGAGGUGACCCUUCACUUCACCGAGAAAGGAAGGAAGAAAGCAUAAUAUUUCAUCGCGUGAAGAGGCCAUGAUUUCUCUAUUCCACUGAGGAUCGCUUGAGCUGUUUCCAGUUUGGGGUGUGAUGAACAAUGCCACAGUGAGCAUUCUUGUCAGUGCUGGCGUAUCUCAUGGUAGGUUUGGAAAUAAAUUCUGAUGGGAAUUAAAACUGGUGUAACCUCUAUAAAGGGCCAUUUAGCAAGAGCUGUCAAAAUUUAAAAAACAUGUGCCCUUCUGGGAAUUACUUCUACAGAUCUGCCCAAACAUGCAAAAUGUCUCAUGCACCAGGUUCUUCUUUGCAGCAUUUAUUUGCAAAAGCUGAGGUGUAGCAACAACCUAAACAUCCAUCAAUAAAUAUUUAUCCAUCCAUAGACUAGAAUACCAGGCAGCACCAGAAGGAACAAGAAAGCUCGGUACCGGCAGGACCUCCAAGUUAAGUAAAAAAGCAAGAUGCUGAACAGUACAUAUAGUUCUCCACCAUGUAGAUUAAAAAGGGACGGAAUACAUUUGCUUGUAUUUGCAUAAAAUAUCUAUGAGUAUAGUCAAGAAAUAGAUAAUAUGAUCUAUGUAUGCGGAAUGCGGGGAAGGAAGAUGUUUCCGUGUAUAUUCCUUGGUAAUCAUUGAAUUUUAAGCCAUAUGAAUGCAUUGUCUACUCAAAAACUCAAUUUAUUGUGAAAAGACUAAAAACCACUGAACUGUACACAUUAAAAUUCUAUGGUAUGUGAUUUAGAUCUCAAUGAAAAAUGUAUAUUGAGGAUGGGCACGGUGGCUCACGCCUGUAAUCCCAGCAUUUUGGGAGUCCGAGGCAGGUGGAUCGCUUGAAGUCAGGAGUUUGAGACCAGCCUGGCCAACAUGGUAAAACCCCGUCUCUACUAAAAAUACAAAAAUUAGCUGGGCGUGGUGGCGGGCAUGCUUGUAAUCCCAGCUACUCAGGAGGCUGAGGCAGGAGAAUUGCUUGAGCCUGGGAGGAGGCAGAGGUUGCAGUGAGCCCAGAAUCACACUACUGCACUCCAGCCUGGGCAACAGAGCGAGACUCUGUCUCAAUAAACAAACAAAAAAAAAUUACAUUUAAAAAAACUUAGGCUAUGGGGCCCAGCGUGGAGGCUCACACAUGUAAUUCCAACAUUUUGGGAAGCUAAUGCAGGAGGAUCGCUUUAGCCCAGGAGUUCAGGACCAGCUUGAGCAACAGUGAGAUUCCAUCUGUAUAUUAAAAAAAAAAAAA